This 1065-nucleotide ribosomal RNA is filed under the name Triticum aestivum (bread wheat). RNAcentral's name for it is "partial small subunit ribosomal RNA". The record is from RNAcentral. Lineage: Eukaryota; Viridiplantae; Streptophyta; Magnoliopsida; Poales; Poaceae.
AUGAGCAAAGCAGACCAACCCCCAACGCCCACGCCCAUGGGGGCAUGGAGCACCACCGCUACCGCUACCACUACGCCUACGGUCUACCCCACGGCGUUCGACGUUCUCCAGCGGAAACUUCUUGUUCUAGAACCUUCAUCUUCUUUCGCUCACUGCUGGCUGGGGCUGUCAGGCUGCGGCCCCGCGUUGUUCUCCGAGCGGCAGCAGAUAUUUCUCGCUCUAGAACCUUCCGUUGUUCCUUCACUGGUAGCUGCGGGGCCGGUUGGGGCUGAGGUGGUAGAGGCUCUGCACCAGCUCGUCCACCUCAUCGUCCACGUCGUCGUCCACCUCGGCGCCGCUCGCCUCCCCUCCCCCGCCCCCGCCUGCCUCCCGAUGCCUCUCCUCCAGGCCCAGGCUCAGCAGCUCCUUCCAGAAGCUCUCCGUGUCCUCGCCGUCCGCGCGCCUGCCCUCGCCGCCGUCGGCGAGCCCGGGGCCGUAGCCUCGCGCCGGGGCGCCGUAGCUGCUCUCGCCGUUGCGGGGGAGGAGGUACUCGAUGGGGCGGCCGCGCUUCUUGGAGAGGAGCGCCUCCGCGAGCUCCUUCCGCCGGCUCUGGUCCUGCCGCUCCACCAGCAUCUGCAGGAAGCUGGGGCUCUUCAUGGCGCGCGCCAGGAACACCGUCAUCUGCUGCUGCUUCUGCUCCGUGGCGGCCAGGCGCGCCUCCAUCUCCUGCAUCUGCGCGCGCGUCGCCUGCUGCUCCUGCCGCAGCUUCACCACCUCCGCGAUCAGGGUGCCCUUGUCGCGCUGCAGCCGCUGCACCUUGCCCUCGGGCCCGAAAUGCCCCACCUCCAGGCACGCACCCUGCUGUUGCCCCUGCUGCAGCAGCGCCGGCGUGCCCGCCGGCGACGACUGAGGCCGGCGCCGCCUGAUCGUCUUCAGCAGCUCCUUCUGCCCCCGCAGGAACCCCUCCGCCGCGAACUCCCACCUGUCCGGAUCAACCUUCCUGAACCCCUGCGAUGCAACACAAACGACCCAAUCGGGUUGAGUUUUUCUGGAACAAAACCAAUCAGAAACUUACAUAGGUGUUGA